RNAcentral lists this ribosomal RNA (1015 nucleotides) under uncultured bacterium. RNAcentral's name for it is "bacterial SSU rRNA". It matches the Rfam family "Bacterial small subunit ribosomal RNA", at positions 8 to 1001 of the family's 1533-position model. The record is from RNAcentral.
AGAGUUUGAUCCUGGCUCAGAAUCAACGCUGGCGGCGUGCCUCAGACAUGCAAGUCGAACGCGAAAGGCCCCUUCGGGGGCCGAGUAGAGUGGCGUCCGGGUGAGUAACACGUAGGUAAUCUACCUCUGGGUGGGGAAUAACGACCGGAAACGGUCGCUAAUACCGCAUAAUGCAGCGGCACCACAUGGUGACAGUUGUUAAAGCGGGGGAUCGCAAGACCUCGCGCCUAGAGAGGAGCCUGCGGCGGAUUAGCUAGUUGGCAGGGUAACGGCCUACCAAGGCAACGAUCCGUAGCCGGCCUGAGAGGGCGGUCGGCCACACUGGCACUGACACACGGGCCAGACUCCUACGGGAGGCAGCAGUCGGGAAUUUUGGGCAAUGGGCGAAAGCCUGACCCAGCAACGCCGCGUGAAGGAUGAAGCUUUUCGGAGUGUAAACUUCAUAAGAAUGGGACGAAUAAGGAAGGGCUAAUACCCCUUCUGAUGACGGUACCAUUUGUAAGCUCCGGCUAACUCCGUGCCAGCAGCCGCGGUAAUACGGGGGGAGCAAGCGUUGUUCGGAUUUACUGGGCGUAAAGGGCGCGUAGGCGGCGCAACAAGUCACUUGUGAAAUCUCCGGGCUUAACCCGGAGCGGCCAAGUGAUACUGUCGUGCUAGAGUGCGGAAGGGGCUACUGGAAUUCUCGGUGUAGCGGUGAAAUGCGUAGAUAUCGAGAGGAACACCUGCGGCGAAGGCGGGUAGCUGGGCCGACACUGACGCUGAGGCGCGAAAGCCAGGGGAGCGAACGGGAUUAGAUACCCCGGUAGUCCUGGCCUUAAACGAUGGAUGCUUGGUGUCCGGGGUUACAUAGUCCCCGGGUGCCGGCGCUAACGCAUUAAGCAUCCCGCCUGGGGAGUACGGUCGCAAGACUGAAACUCAAAGGAAUUGACGGGACCCGCACAAGCGGUGGAGCAUGUGGUUUAAUUCGACGCAACGCGAAGAACCUUACCUGGGCUAGAAUGCUCCUGACAGCCCC